GACGAACGCUGGCGGCGUGCUUAACACAUGCAAGUCGAACGGAAAGGCCCUGCUUUUGUGGGGUGCUCGAGUGGCGAACGGGUGAGUAACACGUGAGUAACCUGCCCUUGACUUUGGGAUAACUUCAGGAAACUGGGGCUAAUACCGGAUAGGAGCUCCUGCUGCAUGGUGGGGGUUGGAAAGUUUCGGCGGUUGGGGAUGGACUCGCGGCUUAUCAGCUUGUUGGUGGGGUAGUGGCUUACCAAGGCUUUGACGGGUAGCCGGCCUGAGAGGGUGACCGGCCACAUUGGGACUGAGAUACGGCCCAGACUCCUACGGGAGGCAGCAGUGGGGAAUAAUGCACAAUGGGCGGAAGCAUGAUGCAGCAACGCCGCGUGCGGGAUGAAGGCCUUCGGGUUGUAAACCGCUUUCGCCUGUGACGAAGCGUGAGUGACGGUAAUGGGUAAAGAAGCACCGGCUAACUACGUG
This 468-nucleotide ribosomal RNA is filed under the name uncultured bacterium. RNAcentral's name for it is "partial 16S ribosomal RNA". It matches the Rfam family "Bacterial small subunit ribosomal RNA", at positions 28 to 507 of the family's 1533-position model. The record is from RNAcentral.